Drosophila persimilis is the source of this 1536-nucleotide RNA transcript. It is a transcript of the gene named serine protease inhibitor 42Dd, with no coding region annotated. The record is from RefSeq and is a predicted model, not a curated record. The transcript is spliced from 5 exons. Lineage: Eukaryota; Metazoa; Arthropoda; Insecta; Diptera; Drosophilidae.
UAUAACACGUCUCAGAGCAAUCUCCGCUCUAUUCAUAGGCACACUCAUCGGCGAACAGUUCUUUGGAGGCAAUCAAAUGAUAUUCUACAUGUGCCUUACGCUCUUGGCAGCCUUUGUGGCUUGCCAAGCCUCGGAGGAGAUUUACCAAAUACUGGCAAAAGAUUAUUAUGCCAGCAAGAAUCUCAUCAUCUCCCCCUUCGCCAUCGAUACCAUCCUUAGUCUGGUCUACAUGGGAGCUGCAGGCGCUACCGCCACAGAGCUGCAAAACUACCUGAAAUUAUCGUCAGAGGACAAGCAACUGGUGACCAGCAAGUACAACGAGGUCCUCGACGGCCUCUUCCAGCCACGAGCGGAUGGUCCCACCUUGAAGCUGGCAAACCGCAUUUAUGUCAACGAUCGUUUCCGUUUGAAGGAGGAGUAUAAUCAGGUGGUUCGUGACGCCUUUCAUGCUGAUGCACAGAUGUUUAGCGUCGCCGGCGGGGUGGAUCCGACAGAAAGUAUCAACAAGUGGGUACAGGUACAGACGAAUGGCAAGAUCUUGAAUCUUCUGGAGCCCAACAGCCUCAAGCCCGACGUGAUGGCAGUGCUACUGAAUGCUAUCUACUUCAAGGGUGAGUGGCAGUCAAAGUUCGAUGCCAGUAACACUCAGGAGGGCAAUUUCUGGGUGACGGGAGAAGAAACGGUUCCGGUUCAGAUGAUGUCUCAAACGGGUUACUUUAAGGCCCGCUACUUCACCGAUCUCCAGGCACAAGUGAUCGAGCUCCCGUACCUGAACUCCAACCUUUCCAUGUUCCUGUUCCUGCCCAAGGAACGCGAUGGCCUCAGAGCUAUGGAGCAGAAAAUCUCUGGCUUCUCUCGGCAUAUGCAUUGUAUGGAGGCUGUUGUGAAGUUGCCUAAGUUCAAAAUAGAGUGCGGCGAAGACCUUAAGGGAACCCUCCAAAAGUUGGGAAUCCGAGAGCUGUUCACCGACGAUUCCGAUCUGAGCGGCCUAUUGGCAGAUAAGGCCAAUGGAAAGAUCAGCAAAUUCGUUCACAAAGCGGUUUUGGAUGUCAACGAGGAGGGGGUCGAGGCCUCUGCCGCCACAUAUGGAAUGAUCACCAAUCGCUCGAGCUUCACCAUGGUGCUUAGCUUCGAUCAUCCCUUUGCUUUCGUCAUACGGGAUCAGAGAACUAUCUACUUCCAGGGUCAUGUGGUCAGCCCCUGAGUAAUCGUUAUGCUGUGUACGGAUGUCAAAUUAAACGAAAAUAUUAUCAAAACAUAUAAACAACAAGCGGGAUCGCGGCAAGGGCAGCGACUCUACUUUUAUAACCGGUACUCAGUCAGUAUAAAUGUGAACUUAUGAUUUAGGCCCUUUUUGACUUGUUGCUUCGAACCCCCAAAUGAGGAUUUUUUGCGGGAGGGUGCUUAUUUCGGCCCACCUGAAUUGGAGUACCAAAUUUGACCGAGGUCCAAGGUGAUCUCAACGAUUCGAGCAGUUCUGGAGGUGGAAUGGUUCCCAACAAAAUAAAUGUUCAAUUUGUGGUGGUUUUAGUUUUA